UGUCGACACUUGUUACUUUUCAGAUCAGAGUUACAGAUCCCACGCGACGUCGAAGAGCGUGAGAACACUUCUCAAAACCCAAUUUCAGCUGCCGCUGUAAUGAGAAGCCCUAAGAAACACUGUAAGCAAGAUUCUAAGACUAACAAAAACAAAAACACAUCCAUUUCUGGCUUAGCUCUUCAAAGCUAUGGGAAGCCGAGGAGUUAUAGGAGAUAAGUGGGUCUAUGAGGAUUCUAUGGGUGUGGCAAUAGGAAGUGCAAUUGGUAUGCAUUCUUGAUCAUUAACCUGGCGCAUAUUGCAUUACAUAGGGUACUCUGAGAUCAUAAACUUCAUCUUCUUUCAUGGCUAAUGCCUGUGGUUUCACUAUGAGUUUGUGUAGGCCUGUAUGGUUGCUGUAGAAGACAACAGCAGAACAGGGACCGAAUGAUGGCCGAAAGUUUGAAGGCCAUGGAAUCCGAAGGUGGUGGUGAGUGAGCUUUAAAUGUUGGCAUAAAUUACCUUUAAACAACUUGUUAAAGAGCAUUUUCGAUUAGAGGGAUAUUUCAUAUGUGGUAAUAAACUUAUUGGAGAGACGAAAUGUUAGAAUGUGAGAGAUGAUUUAUCA
Molecule: long non-coding RNA, 604 nt
Organism: Hibiscus syriacus
Lineage: Eukaryota; Viridiplantae; Streptophyta; Magnoliopsida; Malvales; Malvaceae
Exons: 2
Source: RefSeq, a predicted model, not a curated record